CGUGCCUGGCGCUUCCCCCUGUGCCUCAGCCGUGGGCUCCCUCAGCCUCCCGUCUGGGUGGCAGAUGUAAACAGGAUGUGUUCACACCUCUGAAGUGAGACAGCACUGAGGGAAGAGUGAGGAACGAACACAGAAUUUUUGGAGAGCCUGGCAAGUGACUGCCUCCGUGGCUGGCACUGAGAGGCUGAGAAAGCUGCAGAAACCCCUGCUGAAGAGAGACCAAAAACUCCCACCACUGAGUUUAUGGCCUUUCUAUCUCAUUAUGCAGGUAUUCAUUACCCCCUUUACGUGAACCUGGGGACUCAGGCAUCCUGGUUGGUUUUUAAACCAGUUGUUAAAGUAUUUGCACAUAAAGUAGUUGCUGCCUACUGCAAAUCUGAUUAAUGUGGACGGCAACAAGCUGUAAAGCUGCUGCCUAUUUCUUCUCAUUUUCCAAACUACCUGUGCUCUUGGGGAUUUCAUCCAACUUUCCCAUUUCUUAACCUAUUCUCAAUAUUAAUAGCUGAUUUCAGAAAAAGUAUGUGUGUAAUUAGCUGGAGAGGAAAACCAGCCAGAAUCAUUUAAUUCUGCAGAUUUCAUUGUCUCAUCAGAUUUCAACUAAAGAAAAUCAUAAAACUUUUCACUGUGAGAUCCUGUCCUAAUGUGGAGUCACCACCUCACCCAGCCAACCUGCAUUCUCCAGCACUUGGAUGAAGAAGCAUCUAUUACUGUAAAACAGCUGUAAACACACAACUUUGCUAGUCUGGUUAAGAAAUCUAUAAAGUCCAGCUGCUGAAUCUCAACCCCAGGCUUCCAUACAAAUCCCUUUACUGCCCCACUGACUAGGGGAAUUGCAGCCUUUAAGAAAUCAUGGAAAUGCCGUGUUUGGGAACAAGGGACAGUAACACUGAGGCACCUGCCAGGGACUGAAAUGGUUCAUGCCUUAAACAUUGUUAUGAAGGGGUUUUGCCCAUUAUAGCAAAAACUGUAUAAAGAAGCCACAAGCACAGAAGCCCACCCCUCCCAGAAGAUACCUGACUGGAGCUUUGGACCCUGAGUUAAGACACGUAGGUGUUUGGUGCCAUUGGUCAGAACUCAUUGUGGAGAAGAACUGAGAAUGCAAAAGGUUAUGGACCUUUAUGAAUGAAACUCAUCAACAUUUGUCUUCUGAGCACAGGUAAAUGCCCACAAUACCAUAAAUGACGACAUUUCACUGAACUUUAACAAUAUUAUUUCCUCUGCAUAGCCUCACUGCUUACCUGCGCAGUUGUUUUGAAUGCUUUGUGAGUGAGAUAACACUAAAAUUGAAAGCUACAUAAUAUAGGUGAAAUUCAUAUUAAAAGUCAUCUGUGUUUUAACGCGGUUUCUUUUGCCAGUUAAUAUUUCUUAUAUCUUCUUUCUGCAGAAGCAAUGCAAGAGCGGGCUAUUUUGCAGGUGUAUGUGCAUUGCCAAGCAGAGAUGCUGUUUGUGAUAAUAUCAGCAUAAGAAAAUCUACUCAGAGAAACUUGAACCUUUUUAGUUUUUGCUAUUACUCUUUCAACAACUCUUUCCCGUAAAAUUCAGCAAUGCGCGGGCAGUCAUCAGCAUUAGGCAUCCAGCUGCUUUGAAGCCCAGAACCUCCAUGUCUUUAUGAUUUAGCUGAACUAACUUCAAAGUUGACAGGGCUAAAUCACAUCAGGGUACUCUCAGGGUGAAGCAAAGGUCCACACAGGAGCUCUGCCUGGAUACAUUCCUGUGCGAGCAAGUCUGCAGUUGGAUAUUCAGCUUUAGAAACUAGAUCUCCACACCACACACACACAGAAGUUCAAGUUGAUUUGCUGACAUGGCAUCUGAGUUUCUAAUUUACCUGAAUUACAACAGCACCAUGUAAUUAGGCAUAAAUAAGGGCCUUUGUUCUGGAGGGGAGGAAAGUUUUAUCAGUUCUGAACCAUAUGCAAUUGCGUGUCUAAUCUCUGCCUGCAAUUAUUUCAAAUGCAGAUCCAGAUGAUAGCAUUUAUAUUCAUUCUGAGAUUCAUUGAGUUUGAGGCCAGAAGGGAUCAUUACACCAUCUGGUCUGACCUCCUGGAUGCCACAGACCAUUACAUUUUCCCAAUUACCUCUAUAUCGAGCCCUGUAACAUGUGUUUGACUAAAGCAUAACUAUUUUUGACUAAAGCUUAUCUCCCAGUAAGGCACCUAGUCUUGAUUUGAGGCCAUCAAGAGGAGAGAAUCCACCACUUUGUGAGUACUUUGUUCCAAUGGCUAAGCACACUCACCAUUAAAAAUGUAGGUCAUGUUUCCAAUUUGAAUGUGUCUGGCUCCAGACUCCAUCCAUUGGAUCUCAUUACACUUUUCAGAGCUAAGUCAAAAAGCUCUUUGACACCCACUAUUUUUUCCCCUGUGUAAGUGUUUAUUCCCUGCAGUCAAGUCGCCUCUCAAGUAUUUUGUUUUGUUUUUUUCUAAUAAGCUUUGGUGAACUCUGAAAAUUCACAGGGCAAAGCUGUUUUUGCAGUCCUUCUGUGUAUUUUUAUUUUACCUGAUAUCUAUUUCACCAGUGCCCAGAUGUUUCUCUUGGUGCCAGUGAUGCACACAAGGAGCAGAGGAGUCUCUGCCGCCCUGGCAGCAUGUCCUGACCUGCUUUUCUGUUAGGAACUGCCAGCCUAUAAUGAAGUGUCUCCUUCCCAGUACCCAGCUGUGAGAUCCGGAAAAAUGUCCUCACUAAAUGUUAUCUUUCCUCAUUAAUGAAAGACUGCAACAGAGUUAUUUUGCUUCAGCCCAAGCCAGAAACCUUGCAUUGGACUCAAUGUCAGGCAAUACCAUCUGCUCAUAACCUACACAGAUACUAAGAUGACAGUAGUUCCAAUCCUGUUCUGACUGAAAUCAACAGCAGAGCUGCCCUGCUUGUAAUGAGAGCAUGAGCCAGUGAAACUUCUCUUGACAGACAACAGGAAACUUGGGGUUUUUUGGAGAGCAGCAAUCUUUAGGCAAGGACUACUCAGCAUUCGAGCACAGAUUAGGAGAACACUGCAGAUCUGGUAUCCCCAAGCAGGGCAGUGAAAGUCUGUGGGUGGACUAAACCCACGUCCUUUUAAUUUCACUAUUGAUUACAGACUCAAAUACAUUGAGAGAAAAGAGCAAAAGAAAUUGAGCUGGCCAAGACAACAACAUUUACGUGCCACAAGAGACUCUUACUCCUUGUAUCACUGUCACAGCUCUGUGCAUUUAAGGCCAUUCCCUGAGGCAGAUGAGGCUUUUCCAAAGGUUAGAAGCUAAGCAGAUGAAGUCUGGGUGAUGCAGAGGAUCCACAUAACUCUGCGUCACUGCUUUCAGUCUGUACCCUCUGAGAUCCAGCAUGGCAAGGGCCUGCUGGAAUGCAUUCCCCUUGGCUGGCAUGCCUUGGCAGCCCUGCUGGCUGGGAAGCCUUGUCCC
Long non-coding RNA from Passer domesticus (house sparrow), 3386 nucleotides. RefSeq lists it as uncharacterized. The record is from RefSeq and is a predicted model, not a curated record. The transcript has 4 exons. Lineage: Eukaryota; Metazoa; Chordata; Aves; Passeriformes; Passeridae.